Molecule: RNA transcript, 6199 nt
Organism: Lagenorhynchus albirostris (white-beaked dolphin)
Lineage: Eukaryota; Metazoa; Chordata; Mammalia; Artiodactyla; Delphinidae
Gene: CDCA4
Gene name: cell division cycle associated 4
Exons: 3
Source: RefSeq, a predicted model, not a curated record
CCCUCCCUCGGCGGUGGCGCGGGCGGCGCGGACGCGGGCUGCCAGCCGCAGACUAAACUUUGGCUGUUCCGCACCAUUUCAAGUCAAAAGUAAUAUGUAGCCUUGCGUUUAACCUAACUGGGGGCUCUUCUUAAGAGGAGAAACAGUUACGAUGGGUCGGUUGGGCUCCUCCUCAGGGAAGUCCCUACAUUGUCUUCUCACCUUUGCCUUGGAAGGGGUCAGUGCAGGCCCUCCUCCUCCUGCUUCCCACGAAGACCCUCCUGGGAGACCGGUAGGGACCCUGGGGAGCCACUUGUCUGGCCUACUUGGAUUUACAGCCCUGACCACAGUGCCACCAAGCUGCCGCUCCUCUGUCACUCAUCCAUCCCUCAUCCUACGCCUCCUUCCACCCACCGGUCGAUCCUUCCAUCCAUCAUCCACCCAUCUACCCACCCAUCCAUCAAUCCAUCGUCCAUUCGUCCAUCCUUUUAUCCACCCACAUCUGUCCAUGUUUCUAGGUUUUCUCCCUAAUCUGCAUUCCUUGUAGAGCGAGGAGUGGGUGGUGACUGUUAGCGAUGGAACACUUGAAUUUCAUCCUAGGUCCUUGUAGCAGAACUGGGAUUUGCAGUGCUAUACUGCCUUCCAGAAAUGGCCCGGCCGGGGCACCUUUCUCUGGAACCCCCGAGGGCAGGGCUGCCUCCCUGUAGUAAGCUGCGUUCCUGUGAGUGUUCAGUUUGGGUUCUUUUCCUUUGUGUCUCAAUUUUAAUUGCUUUGAAAAGGAAUGUUAAGGAUAUUUUGCAAUAGCUUCCCUGCUCCCUACUGUAGGAGACCCAGCUUCUCUCUAAGCUGGUCAAGGGGGUAUCAGGGAGCAAGAGAUGCCAGCCUUGGGUGGUCUAAAGCUGGUGCUCUGUCUGCUUCCCCUGCAGGCUGGCCUAAGCUGCCCAGGCCAGUGGAGACAGACAUCAGGGAGGGGAGCAGGAUGUGGGGGGAGGAGGGCUCCCAGACCCUGGCUGCUAAGGGAGCUGUCUUCAGCGGGCUCCUUGUUCCGCCCCAUCCUGCUGCAGUCAGAGGACUAGGAAAAGUACCGGGCACUCACUUCCACAAGUCAGAGGCAAGCUCAGCUCUACGAUUUCAAAAGCUUAUUGUCCCCAAAGCAGGAUUACCAGGGAAAGCAUCCACCAGGUAACUGUUUGCUGGGAGAAGCUGUGGUCCAAGUAGAGGGUUUUCCUCUGCUGGAAAUGGCCGUGUUUCCUCUUGUGGGGCCCUGUGUUGCUUACACAGAACAGCCAGACUGAGUUUACUGUUCUGUUAAAAUGAGGCAAAGAAGAUACUGUCCGCUUACAAAAUUAAGUUAAAUAUUCUGUGAAUUUCCUACAUACAAUUGCUCUUUAUUUUCAAGUUUCACCAUGUUUUAUAAUUAAAGUUGAAAUUCAGAAUAAAAAAAUCAGUUACGACCUUUUUUUUUUUUCUUUUUUUUGGAGAGAGAGAAUGGCAGGUUUUGUCUUGGAAGGAGGGCUGGAAGUUUCCCUCAACUUGCUAGUAGAACAUAUUCCCAGGCAGAGAAGGUUUGUGUAUUGUAUUCCAAGUAACAGAAGUGCUUGAGGGAAUUCCCUGGCGGUCCAGUGGUUAGGACUGUGUGCUUUCACUGCCGUGGGCCCGGGUUCAGUCCCUAGUUGGGGAACUAAGAUCCCACAAGCUGCACGGCACAGCCGAAAACAAAAGUACUUGAAAUCAGCUUUUUUGUGCUAGCUUUUGAAAGCUGCAGACAGGCAAUAGUGGAGGGGUGACCGCCACACAGCUUAGAGGUAGCCUUCUCAAAAUUUAGCUUUGCUUGCUCCGUCUUCAGUUUUCUUUAAUGAGUAUUUCAAAGCCAAAUAGUGAGACAGAAACUGAGAGUGUUCAUGUUGAUUUGCCUUAAAAACCUGAAACUCACGAGAGUGCUUGGCCGUGGCGGAAGGUCAUGGUGACGAGUCUGUCCCCAGUGCCCCCACAGCCCUGCUGCUCUGGAUCUGGGGAUCUGCAUUCUCCACCGGCUCUGGGGAUGGUGGCCACGUGGCGUGAGAGCUGCUCAGGAAUGGGGACCUGGCUGUGACGGGGGUCUCUGCUGGGACUGCUCGGGGUGGGCGGGCGCAGUGUCCGUGUCUGUCCCCCCCCCCCCGCCCCCGCUUCACCGCCACGUGGAACUCGUGGCCUGUCUGUCCCGCCUGCGCCUGGUCUGGAGGAGGCCUGAGGGUGGUGCUGUGCGGCGACGGGGGUCAACCCUGGCGGGCUGGCUGUCCAGGGAUGUUGGAGGGUUUUGUGUGGAACGUGCUAACUGAGGACUCGGCGGGCCUCGGGUGUUUAACCAGCUACGUGGCGAGACCUUCCAGCCGACUGUGGAGGUGACGGAGGUGGGUAAUGCCUAACAUUUUUUUGCUCAGCACUCAGCGGUGAGUCAGGCUGUGCGGUUAGGACAGCCUCAGAGGCGUAGGGCCUUGUGUCACCCCGUGUUAGAAGGGUUCAGUGCCUUCAGGCCACAGUCACUGCUGGGCAGGGAGCUGUGCUUCAGCAGGCCAGCCUGGGGGUUCUGGGUCCCCACCUCUGCCCUGAGCAUCUCUCAGGGUCCCUUCCGAACCAUGCUGUGUUCUGACUUUGUCCCAAACACAGUGGUCUGAGGAGGGGGAACCCUCGCAGGCCACCUUCUGAGAUCGUCGUGACCCCACCCACUCACCCAGCCUCUGGGCGGUGGGGCACUGCCCAUGGGCUGCUCCCUUCCGUAGAUGUGAGUCGGCCAGCAUCUUUUGUGGAGCGUGGCACGAAUUAACAGUCACUUAGGCUUUGGAACAUUUGCGGGGAAUAAUUUGGGCUGACUUUGAGCCUGUAUGUGUUCUGGCCUGCCCGUGGGGGCGCGGCGGGGGGCAGUAUCUAUAAAGUGUUUUAGAUUUAAUGUGGUAACCACCCCUGUCACAUCGGUUAUUGAUGCAUUUUUGUUUAUUAUGAAGGUAUAAUUUGAUGCAAUGAAAUGAACAGAUGUUAGUUGCGCAGUUCAGUGAAUUCUGACAAAUGCAUCUUCUCGUGUGACCCAGGCGCCCAUCUGGAGGGAGCUGUAUUCCCACCGUCCCAGGGAGUUCCCGCCAGUCGUGACUCGUCAGUGGCAACAACUUGGGUUAGCUUUGCCUGUUCAUGACUGUGGAGGUGAAUGAAGGCUGCCUUGCGAGAAGAGCAGAGGCUGUUUAUUCCAAGCUGCUGCGGCUGGGGAGCCGCCACCACCACUGCCACCACCGGGCUGAGCAGGGACUCGGGCAGCAGGGGAGUGGGAGCGCUUGCCAGUGGAGAGGGGGCUCGGGGUCCUGCUGGGGGCUGCGGGGCUGGGGAAGCUGGACGGCUGACGAGACCCGGGCGCCACUGCGAUGGCUGGGGCACGUCUGGUUUUCUCCGGUUGGUCCUCAGUCAGAAGCGAGAACAAAGACCAUGGACGCCGUGGGUUAUUGAUCAAGCCAGGCCAUUGUGGGGGGUGUCACAGGGCGGUUGUAGGGCUUCCUGGGCUGUCGCUAGAGAUGGAGGUCUGACUUCCUGCAGGUCUGGCGCGGAGGGAGCAGGUUGCUUCCUGGGCUGGUGCCUGUGAUGGUGGCUGGGUGUCCUCGCUGUGUCCGUUCAGUCUCAGAGCAAAUAGCCGUGAGCGUGCCCUCUGCCCUUCUUUCCUGGCAGUGCUGCCCCAGGUGCUGACCACACCAAGCUGCAGCCGGCCCCGAGCUCAGCCCCCGGGGCCCCCACUGGGUUGACCACUCGUGAGUUCGUGGGCUGGGUGUUCUGAGGACCCCUCGAGGAAAGGGAGGUGGGGUCCCAGGGCUUCCCAUGUAGCUUCCUGGCUGUGGGUCGGCCAUGGUCACCCGCCCGGCCCCGCCAUCCCGAGUGGCUGCUGACCUGAGCUGCAUGGGGCCCACGGAGGGUGGCUCCACUUCCUCUGUUGGUAAACUCAGGCUUAACUGUGUUAUUCGAGGGAGUUUGGUUUGGGCCUUAAAUAAUCUUUUUUUUUUUUGGCCACGCUGCAGGGCUUAUGGGAUCUUAGUUCCCUGACCAGGGAUGGAACCUGGGCCCUCGGCGGUGAGAGUGCGGAGUCUUAACCACUGGACCACCAGGGAAGUCCCUGGGCCCUAAAUUAAAUUGGUCGCUGUGCAGAGUCAGGAUUUUAGGUUUGGUCGAAAAGAUGCUAAAAGCCAGAGGUGAUUAGAGGAACCCUUGAAACUUAAUUUUUUCCCCCCAACACAGGGUGUCUUUUUAUAGACAUAAUUCAUAUUAACUAUAAAUUAAUUAUAGUUAAUUAUAAAUUAGUUUAUAUUAUAAAUAAAUUAUGUCUUUAUUGACACUAUUUAUAGUAAUUCUCAAUAUGCUUAGAAAAUUUAAGCCAGUGACUUUUACACAAGUAACUGGGGAAAAAAGACUGUAAAAGUUGAAUUUGCAGCCAAGACAAAAAACUUGAAUCCUUUAUUACUAGAAGUCACUGAAGUAUUUUCCCUGUAUUUUGGUGGUAAGCUGCUGCUUUUGUAACGCUGCAUGCACAGUGAGGCCAAACAAACUGAAACACCAGAGUUUGGAGCAGAGAAAGGUUUAUUGCAGGCUCGUGCCCUCGAGCUCCCUGAAGGCUUUUGGCAAAGCAUUUUUAAAGGCAAAGCAUUUUUAAAGGCAAAGCAUUUUUAAAGGCCGGUUGAGGGAGUGGUGGUUGCAGGGUAUGUGAUCAGGUCGUGCGCAAUUUUCUGAUUGGCUGAUGCUGAGGGAACAGGGUGGUGUCACAGGGGUUCAUGUCAUCAGUCCUUAGGCUCCAGGAGGCCUGGGGCUACGCGCCCAUGGUUAUCAAGUAGUUAACAUCUUCCAUUUGGUGGGGGAGGUUUUCACAUCUGCAAAACAACUUCAGGAAAUGUGCAUCAAUUACUAUCGUCUGGGUACUUCUGAGAGGAGCUAAAGCAGAGGAUAUGGGGGAAGGCCUGUACCGGGAAGACCCCCAUGGAGUCCUGCCCGGUUACACUGUCAUUCACUUAAAGACAGUUAAUAAGUGGGUGUGUGCAAGGUGUUAUGAUUGGCUGUGGCCUGGGGGUUAUGUUGAUAAGUUAGACCUGUUUGCUGUUCUGGGGAAAUUAGUCUUGAGGGGAAUGAGCUAUAGUCACUUAGUCUUUAAACUUUUUGUUUUGAAAUAUCAGUAGUUAUGGGUCCAGGGCAGUUGUAAAGAAGUGUCCUGGAGGGACAUCCUUGCCCUGCCGCCCAGCGUGGGCGUCUGCGUGAGAUGCACAGUUACGCAUCCCCACCAGGAAGCUGGCUUCCGAGCAGCCACGGAGCUGAUUCGGAUUGAGAGAGAGUGUGUGCGCGUGUGCAGUUCUGUGCAGUCGGAGCUCCCGUGGCACUUCCUGGACCCCCCACCGUGGUCCCCACACGGAGCCAUAUCCUUACCCCAGAGAGCCCGUUGGGCUCACCCUUGGCCGCGCACCCAUCUGUUGUGUUAGGGUCCUUACAGAGGUGGAGACUGCCCUGGGCAGCCUUCUGAGAUUGGCCUUCUCGCUCUGCGUGACCCCCUUGAGACCCACCCGAGUACCCCAGCUACUGGUCGCUCCGGCGCGCUGUGUGCGGCACCUGAGCGGCAGCCUCUCCCCACUUGGAGGGCUCGGUUUCCAGUCUGGGGCUCUUACGAGUGGAGCUGCUGUGAACAUUCUUGUACAUAUUUUUGUAUGAACAUUGGUUUUCAUUUCUCUGGGAUAAAUGCCCAAGAAGUCACUUGUAAAAAGUUUUUUCAAUGUUAAGUCCACAGGAGGUGAGAGCUGCGACGUUGAAAGGAGAUUCAGAGGCCGGGGGACCUUCUUCUGUCCGUUUAAGGCUGUGGCUGGUGGGGCUCGGGGCAGGUGGGGGCGGGGCUGCUGCUUCCUUCACCACAGAGCUUCCCAUCAGCAGGUCAGCACAGGCGCUGCCCCCUGGUCCCAGAGCCCCUGGCCACGCCACAGUCAUAGGCCAGCAGCAGCCACAGGAAGCUACAGGAUUGUUUUGUUUCUUGAAGAAGGAAAUCCAAAAAUUUGCGUAUUUAAAAGAUUCUAACCCUCUUGGGACUUCCCUGGUGGCACAGUGGUUAGGAAUCCGCCUGCCAUGCAGGGGACACGGAGUCGAGACCUGGUCCAGGAAGAUCCCACAUGCUGCGGAGCAACUAAGCCCAUGCGCCACAACUACUGAGCCUGCGCUCUAGAGCCUGCGAGCCACAACU